UCCAGAGUCUAUGUCAGGUCUUCUCCUGUUCCUCUGAGCCACAGUGUACCAUCUUUACCAUGAACACACAUUGUAGUUUAUCUUAACUCCAACACACUGCUCUGCUGCCCCAAAAACUCACUUGAGUACCAAACAUGUAUGAUGCCCCUGUGCGAGUAACAUACAGGCCAGCUGAUCUCCCAGGUGUGUUUCCUGUUCCAGGCUCUGCGUGAACACAGUGAGCAGCUGGAAGAGGCUCAGGUCAGAGCCCACAACAUGGUGUCCAACCACAAACAGGCCACCCAGCUGCUGCAGACCGAGCUGCAGAACAGCCAGGCUCAGAGCGAGGAGAAGGAAAACACCAUCCAGACGCUCCGGAGCAAACUGCGCGAGUCUGAGGUUGGUCUCAAGACAAGAUGGUUGACCCUGUUCAUCGUUAUAUCCGACUCUGAGCUAAAGUCUCGCACUCGUUUGACUUUGUUUAAAUGUUGGUUCUUUGACUCGCAUUGAGCAGCUCAUGUUGUAAUACUGUUUCUUUCCAUAUCAGAAAAAAGCUUCACCCAGUGCUGCGGAGCUGGAGAAACUCAAGACUAGACUGUUCAAAAUGGAGGCUGAGUUGAGUUCAGCAUCUGAUAAACACCACCAACAGGUCCAGAGGAUGACCACGGCACUGAAUGAGAAAGAGGAUUCGUUGAGGAAGCUGAAGGAGACCGUGAGGAGAUCACAGCAGCAGGGAGAGGAGUCAUUCUUGCAGGGGCAGGAGCUUCAUGAUAAACUGACCAACCCCAGAGGUUUAGUGAUCAAGAGCAGCAUUCUUCUGGACAAGGCCAAACUGGAGGAGGAGGUCAAACGGCUUCACCUCAAAAUAACUGAGCUGGAACGGUAAAGUGAACCAGUCCGAGGCCGGAACUGCUCCGUGGUUUUCUAUGAUUCUUCAGUCCUGCUUGACAUCUGUGUCCACGUCUCCACAGCUCGCUGUCCGCUCAGCACACGGAGAUCGGCAAGUGGAAGAACCGAGCCAUCAAGCUGAAGGCGAGGAGCAAACAUGAAGUGGACAAGCCUUUAUCACCCUGCACUCCGACCAAGAGGGGCCCUCCAUUGACCUCCGACCCCUCCAGCUUCCUCUGCUCACCCAAGAGAUUCCUGGUUACUCCCAGGAA
Molecule: long non-coding RNA, 1139 nt
Filed under: Scophthalmus maximus (turbot)
Lineage: Eukaryota; Metazoa; Chordata; Actinopteri; Pleuronectiformes; Scophthalmidae
Description: lncRNA (ENSSMAG00000030610.1)
Source: RNAcentral